AGUUUUAAAAAUCGGAUGUGGAUGCUGUAAUGGUGCCGCGCUCAGAUAGCAGAGCCCCACGUGCUGAACCUGUCCUCCUGUUUGUUGGCCACUGGGAGGAAAAACAGGCCCGGCAGCUUCCCAAGCAGAGCCCUGGGGCCUCUUGCUUUGUGUUGUCUCCUGUACUACCAGUGGUGGCGGGGGCGGGUUUCACUUGCUGGGAAAAGGACACCUUGCGGCUGGGGCCUUGUUAUUCUGGGUGGUGGCCACCGUUUCUCCUGAACGUCGUGGUUGGAGAGGGUUUCUAACAGAUCUUCAGCUCAGUGCCAAGGUAAAGAAGAUAAUCACAGCUGGCUUAUCAAUAUUGCUGUUUGAUGCGAUCCUGACCAGUGCAGCCACGGGAUGCCUCCUGCUCGGUGCACUUGGAGAGGCCUUGCUGGUUUUCUCAGAGCGGAAGAGCUCCUGAACAAGACAGUCAAGAGAAGGAGACUCACAGGCUGCUGCGGGAGAACAUCGCCCCUAGUCUCAUAGCUCCCUGUUGAAUGUGUCAGAAAGAGGAACGCAAGGACAGUGAUGCCAGGU
Molecule: small RNA, 561 nt
Filed under: Pongo abelii (Sumatran orangutan)
Lineage: Eukaryota; Metazoa; Chordata; Mammalia; Primates; Hominidae
Description: processed transcript
Source: RNAcentral